This 496-nucleotide ribosomal RNA is filed under the name uncultured bacterium. Its description in RNAcentral is "partial 16S ribosomal RNA". It matches the Rfam family "Bacterial small subunit ribosomal RNA", at positions 29 to 507 of the family's 1533-position model. The record is from RNAcentral.
AUGAACGCUGGCGGCGUGCCUAAUACAUGCAAGUCGAGCGAACAGACGAGGAGCUUGCUCCUCUGACGUUAGCGGCGGACGGGUGAGUAACACGUGGAUAACCUACCUAUAAGACUGGGAUAACUUCGGGAAACCUGAGCUAAUACCGGAUAAUAUAUUGAACCGCAUGUUUCAAUAGUGAAAGACGGUUUUGCUGUCACUUAUAUAUGGAUCCGCGCCGCAUUAGCUAGUUGGUAAGGUAACGGCUUACCAAGGCGACGAUGCGUAGCCGACCUGAGAGGGUGAUCGGCCACACUGGAAAUGAGACACGGUCCAGACUCCUACGGGAGGCAGCAGUAGGGAAUCUUCCGCAAUGGGCGAAAGCCUGACGGAGCAACGACGCGUGAGUGAUGAAGGUCUUCGGAUCGUAAAACUCUGUUAUUAGGGAAGAACAAAUGUGUAAGUAACUAUGCACGUCUUGACGGUACCUAAUCAGAAAGACACGGCUAACUACGUG